GGAUUUUUUUACUCUAGCCUGCCCACUGAAUAAUUUUUAAAUGGCCGCAGUAUACUAACUGUGCAAAGGUAGCAUAAUCAUUAGUCUUUUAAUUGAAGGCUGGUAUGAAUGGUUGGACGAGAUAUUAACUGUUUCAUAAAAAUUUAUAAUAGAAUUUUAUUUUUUAGUCAAAAAGCUAAAAUAUAUUUAAAAGACGAGAAGACCCUAUAAAUCUUUAUAUUUAGGUUAUUAUAAUUUUAUAGAUUUUUUUUGUUAUAAUAAUUGAUAAUAUUUUAUUGGGGUGAUAUUAAAAUUUGAUAAACUUUUAAUUGUUUAAAUCAUUAAUUUAUGAAUAAUUGAUCCGUUAUUAGCGAUUAAAAAAAUAAGUUACUUUAGGGAUAACAGCGUAAUUUUUUUGGAGAGUUCAUAUCGAUAAAAAAGAUUGCGACCUCGAUGUUGGAUUAAGAUAUAAUUUUAGGUGUAGCCGCUUAAAUUUUAAGUCUGUUCGACUUUUAAAUUCUUACCUGAUCUGAGUCCAGACCGG
RNAcentral lists this ribosomal RNA (523 nucleotides) under Chrysomya megacephala (oriental latrine fly). RNAcentral describes it as "partial 16S ribosomal RNA". It matches the Rfam family "Bacterial large subunit ribosomal RNA", at positions 1892 to 2619 of the family's 2925-position model. Lineage: Eukaryota; Metazoa; Arthropoda; Insecta; Diptera; Calliphoridae. The record is from RNAcentral.